UACGUAGGCAGCAAGCGUUGUUCGGAGUUACUGGGCGUAAAGAGUGCGUAGGCGGUGCUUCAAGUCUGUUGUGAAAUCUCCUGGCUUAACUGGGAGGGUGCGGUGGAAACUGAAGUGCUUGAGUAUGGGAGAGGUAAGCGGAAUUCCUGGUGUAGCGGUGAAAUGCGUAGAUAUCAGGAGGAACACCGGUGGUGUAGACGGCUUACUGGACCAUGACUGACGCUGAGGCACGAAAGCGUGGGUAGCAAACAGGAUUAGAAACCCUAGUAGU
RNAcentral lists this ribosomal RNA (271 nucleotides) under uncultured bacterium. RNAcentral describes it as "partial 16S ribosomal RNA". It matches the Rfam family "Bacterial small subunit ribosomal RNA", at positions 524 to 794 of the family's 1533-position model. The record is from RNAcentral.